RNAcentral lists this ribosomal RNA (253 nucleotides) under uncultured bacterium. RNAcentral describes it as "partial 16S ribosomal RNA". It matches the Rfam family "Bacterial small subunit ribosomal RNA", at positions 524 to 776 of the family's 1533-position model. The record is from RNAcentral.
GACGUAGGGGGCCAGCGUUGUUCGGAAUUACUGGGUGUAAAGGGCUCGUAGGUGGCCAACUAAGUCAGACGUGAAAUCCCUCGGCUUAACCGGGGAACUGCGUCUGAUACUGGAUGGCUUGAGUUUGGGAGAGGGAUGCGGAAUUCCAGGUGUAGCGGUGAAAUGCGUAGAUAUCUGGAGGAACACCGGUGGCGAAGGCGGCAUCCUGGACCAACACUGACACUGAGGAGCGAAAGCCAGGGGAGCAAACGGG